CGAGGCGGCCGUGACUGGCGAAGGUGGACAACCACCGGGGAGCGGCCGCCUCGACCACCGGGCCUGCCGGGCGUCGUCGAGACCGCCGUGAGCGCCGCCCGCCUGGGCGCCAGGG
Molecule: non-coding RNA, 115 nt
Filed under: Isoptericola dokdonensis
Lineage: Bacteria; Bacillati; Actinomycetota; Actinomycetes; Micrococcales; Promicromonosporaceae
Also listed under: 1 other name
Description: ZTP sequence
Rfam family: ZMP/ZTP riboswitch aptamer (pfl RNA motif)
About the family: Previously known as pfl RNA. ZMP is also known as AICAR.
Source: RNAcentral